UAACAUCGGAAUGUGUUAAUAUGCUAAAAAAUUGGAAAGAUACAGAGAAGAUUAGCAUGGCCACUGUGCAAGGAUGACGCACAAA
This 85-nucleotide small nuclear RNA is filed under the name Pan troglodytes (chimpanzee). Lineage: Eukaryota; Metazoa; Chordata; Mammalia; Primates; Hominidae. The record is from RNAcentral.